This 869-nucleotide ribosomal RNA is filed under the name uncultured Bacteroidota bacterium. Its description in RNAcentral is "bacterial SSU rRNA". It matches the Rfam family "Bacterial small subunit ribosomal RNA", at positions 46 to 913 of the family's 1533-position model. The record is from RNAcentral. Lineage: Bacteria; Pseudomonadati; Bacteroidota.
GCUUAUCUGCAGUCGAGGGGCAGCAGGUUUGUAGCAAUACAGAUGCUGGCGACCGGCAAACGGGUGCGGAACACGUACAGAACCUAUUUUCGAGCGGGGGAUAGUCCAGAGAAAUUUGGAUUAAUACCCCAUAGUAUAUUUGGAUGGCAUCAUUUGAAUAUUAAAGAUUUAUCACUUGAAGAUGGCUGUGCGUAUGAUUAGGUAGUUGGCGGGGUAACGGCCCACCAAGCCUACGAUCAUUAACUGGUGUGAGAGCACGACCAGUCACACGGGCACUGAGACACGGGCCCGACUCCUACGGGAGGCAGCAGUAAGGAAUAUUGGUCAAUGGACGCAAGUCUGAACCAGCCAUGCCGCGUGGAGGAUGAAGGUCCUCUGGAUUGUAAACUUCUUUUAUCUGGGACGAAAAGAGGGAAUUCUUUCUCGUCUGACGGUACCAGAUGAAUAAGCACCGGCUAACUCCGUGCCAGCAGCCGCGGUAAUACGGAGGGUGCAAGCGUUAUCCGGAUUCACUGGGUUUAAAGGGUGCGUAGGCGGGUAUGUAAGUCCGUGGUGAAAUCUCCGAGCUUAACUCGGAAACUGCCAUGGGUACUGCGUAUCUUGAAUGUUGUGGAGGUGAGCGGAAUAUGUCAUGUAGCGGUGAAAUGCUUAGAUAUGACAUAGAACACCAAUUGCGAAGGCAGCUCACUACACAAAUAUUGACGCUGAGGCACGAAAGCGUGGGGAUCAAACAGGAUUAGAUACCCUGGUAGUCCACGCCCUAAACGAUGAUUACUCGACAUACGCGAUACACAGUGUGUGUCUGAGCGAAAGCAUUAAGUAAUCCACCUGGGAAGUACGACCGCAAGGUUGAAACUCAAAGGAAUUGA